Molecule: RNA transcript, 1012 nt
Organism: Herpailurus yagouaroundi (jaguarundi)
Lineage: Eukaryota; Metazoa; Chordata; Mammalia; Carnivora; Felidae
Gene: MISFA
Gene name: mitochondrial sheath formation associated
Exons: 6
Source: RefSeq, a predicted model, not a curated record
GCCCGCGUCCAACGCCCAGGCUCAGCGGCCGCUCCGCCCGGGAGUCGAACCAGCGCCCCAGCGUGGACCCUGAGAGCCGUCGGAAAGGCGUUAGCGCCCAGGGGGUCACAACCCAGCUUGCUGGAAGGAAACUUGGGGACAUCUGUAAGGAGAGGAAUAGGAAAGACCCGAGAAGAAGCAGUAAAGGAGGUAGAAGCAACUCGCGCUGUUUUGGAGGAGAGUUUCUAGAAGGGUGUGUUAAAUUCAGCAGAGUAUUGAGAAAGAUCAAGACCAAAAAUUGCAGUUAGAUUUAGGAAGGAGGAGGUAACGGAACUUCAAAAGCAAAAUUUCGGGGAGCUAGAAAGGGAAAAUGGAGUCAGGAGGAGUCUUGUCGAAAAACUGGAAGAUGUGAAGGCUCUUACCCUGAGAGAAAAAGGAAGGCACUGGAGGAUUUUGAACAGAGAAGUGAUGUGAUCUAAGGUUUAAAAGAAUAGGUCUGACUGCUGCAUUGUGAAGAGACUGUAUGUGGGGCAAGAGAGGAAGCCAGGAGACCAUAGGAGGUGAGAAAAAGGGCGUUGCGGAUCCUUUGGAGCCAAGGACUGGAACUGCCAUGCAAGACCUCUGCCAACUGAGGGUUUCAUGAGCGCACUCCCUUGCCAAGAUCUUGGUGAAUAGUCUUUCACUGUGCAAUUGUGUCUUAGACAUUGUUUUACUUGUUAUCAUGAUUGUGCUUGGCUGGAUGCUUUUUGUUGGACUUGCAUGUUACAUGGGCACGUUUCCAGAGUUCAUGCCUCCAACUCUGAAGUGGAAAGAGAAGUGGCCUGUUCAGGAGAGCAAGACACGACUGAGGAGCCUGGCUUUGGAUGAAGAACCACAACUAUGAGAACCAUGUGGAAAGGAUAUAAGUAUCCCCCAGGAGGGACCCCGGUGGAAAUAAGCAAAGAUGAUCCUGGUGAAGUCAUGCAGCUCUGAAGCUCACCUGGCCUGCUGUAGAGUUCCUGUUGUUGGUUUCGCAUAAAGUAAUUGCACAUUA